CUGCACCUCUUGAAUACAUGCACACCCAAACACAAGAGUGGGCUGCACACUCUUCACAGACACCAACCUGAAUUACACAGCCGCUCGGCCAAGGAGCUGAGUCAGAUUUCCGCAGUCUGUUUAAUAUACAACAUCUAAAGUGCUUCCAACAGGUCUCUUUUUGUGCUAAUCGAUAAGUGUUUCCAUGGAUGGAAAAACAAAUAGCCAAUCACAGCCUUUGUGGGUGGAAGGACAACAUUUUCAUGUCCCAGAGCCAGAGAAAUACGAGUAUGUGCAGCUUUCUGAAUUUCAGCUUACAAAACAUGACAAAAAGCAAACUAAAACCAUGAGCACUGUCAGAGUAAUGAAUAAAUAAUGAACAAUGAAAAGGAAUUGGAAUUGAAAUGGAUCACCGGUGCGGCAAACAGCAGAGAAAGGUAAAAGCCGGUGGCAGACAAUUAAAAUUAUUUAUUACCUGAAUCUAAUCUAAUCAUUGUCGCCACAUAAUGUAGAUUGCAAAUAAUUAGACUAACUGCCUACAAAUAUUUAUGCCAUGAACCCACAGUACAAUUCCCAGUCUUUAAGGAGACAGAAUGAGUCAGCAAAAGAAAUACUUUUUUAUACUGCAACUUCUUCUUCGAUGUUGCUUCUAAACCGCGUCUCAUUUUGCUGUAUGUUACUGUGAUUACAGCUGUUUUGUGUGGACUAGGACUUGGAAACCAAGACAAAGCUCGAUGUUGGUGGAAAUCUUGGCUGCCAAUAAUACAGAAAAUACUGUGCCUUUUGUAACUUUUAAUUAGGCUGAUAAUCAACAGUUUACUUCCAAAGACACACAUUCUUUUAUUUUUAUCUUUAAUUUAAUUUGUCACCUCAGAUUGUGCAAAGAUGGAGCUGUUAUUUAAUUCUAAAAAAUUCUACUGCGUGGUGCAUGUCAGAAAAAAAAUUGAGAUUCUGCUAAAUUUCUAGUUUUGUUUCUUUCUUACUUUUUUCUUUAAAAAAAACUCAACUAGUUAAUUAGUCACUAUGAACAUCCCCAACUCAAACUGAAAACGUUCCCUCACUCACGUCUGCAGCAAAGCAAAUUAUUAAUGGUUAACAAACAGAUUAUUGACAGUCUAAGUGUUAGUUUAACUUUGAGUUUUUGUGCAUUAUGCAUAGUGAGGGAUGAUGUAGGAAAAAUAAAAUCCCAGUCACUGGAGGAGCGAUCAUGGCCUCGAACUAGUAGUCUUCUAUUCACAUACUGCCCAUGGAAACCUCUAACUACCAGGCUGCCGGAAGUUCAUCACAUAAAAGAGUUUAGUGAAAUAUAUCCUGAAUUUGUUAGCAGCUAACAGCUCUGACACCAGACUUUAAAUGAACCUUUUAUCACCAAUCAUUAUGUUUUUAUUACUAAAGCAUUUGAAAAUAAAAGCAUGCACAGCAGGUAGCGGCAUUUUAAUUUUAGCUGCUGUGACCCUCGCUGAGGUUGUUGAUUAACAUGACAAACAUCAAAAGCAGCAGCUUCAACAAGCAGCAGAUAAUUAAUGUUGAUUCCAUAACAGCUAAAAUUACAGUUUUGGUUGUUGUCCAGUGAAAACUGUCUCUACAGCCAAACAGAAACAUGACUCUGACACUGAGCGCUGUUUCGUAUCAGAUAAAUAUCAGGAGAACCACCCAGUUUAACUUCUAAGGGUAUAAUAUAAAUUUCUUAUCAGCUUCACAGUGUGAAUCAGGACCUCCAUUAUUUGAAUCUGAUUCAUAUUUAAUCAACACUUCAUAUCUUCUCCUGCUCAUCUAAUUUUCUGGUUCAGGCUACAGGCUGUCGAUGUUUAUUACGGCACUAAUAUAAACUGUAACGCACAAACAAAGGUGAUUACCGAUCCGAAUUCAAUAUUUGACUCAUAACUUUAGUUACUUUAAAGUGAUGAAAGCUGAACAUAAUUACAUUAGAUGAGCAGAUUUGAUAAAAUAGCAAUACUCAUCACAUCUCAGGAACUCUGCCAACUACUGAGACUGACUCUUUGGUUGAGUUCAUUUCAAGAGUGUUGACAAAAAUGCUGCUUCUGAAUGUUCCUCCUGCUGCUCAAACCUUCCUGUCUAUCAUAAAUGCACAAACACCCACAUCCCCACCCACUAAACACCUGCCAAGCAGCACACACACUCACACAUCCACACACAGGCGUUAUGUAAGUGUGUGUCAGGAGGACACUCUCAGAUGGUCCAGUUACAAUCAUCAAUCCUGCUGACGCCUCCAUGUCAUCUGUGUGGAUAUUUCCAUAAAGCAGGUGGACAGUGAACCCACUGCAGUGAGGUGGAGGCAGACUCCCAUCCAAUAUUAGACUCACACAUGGCCAAAAUAUGGUCUGUGGACCAGAUGCCGGCCCCCGACAUCCUGAAGGGAGAAUUUAACACGUCCCCGAAAAUAAAAUUUUUUUUUAAAAAGGGAGCAUGCGAAAGCAGGUACACCCAAGCCUUCAAAACGCAUUAAUAAAUACUAUACUAUACUUUGUGAUAAUAAAUAACAGGUAUCAGCCGUCUUUUUGCAACGUUUCAUCUGGCAGGCAAACUCCAAUGCCUUGAACUCCAGUUUGCAGCUUUAAUUCUUGCCCUCAGUGACCUUUUUAUAGCCAACCAGUUCUCCGCAUGCUGCAGGUUCAGGUUAGAAUGACCGUCGUUAGUUGGUCACAGUCGAUAUCCAAGAAAAAACAAGGACUGCAGUCCAAGAUAUUGGGAGCUAGAGUCUGUUGAACCAUGGGAUGAGAGUCUUGGUACCACCACAGCUGUGACCUGAUAACUCUACAGGUAAACACAAGAUGGGAGCUAGCUAGCUAGUGAAUGAACAUUCAAUAUAACAGAAGGGAUUGUCCAAUAGUAAACUGAUCACGGAUGUUAAAAUAAAAAUAAAUUGAAAAGAUAUAUUUGGGUGACAAGUAAUAUAGCAUGUGGAAAACAUUGUAUCCCCCCCCAAAAAAGGGUUAUUAAAUAGUAAAUAUUAGCUGAGCACAGUGGUGCCUGUUGUGGUACUGCAACAUAUUGAAAAUCUGAGUUACCUACAAAAUUAAAAACAGAGGCUAAAAAAGAACAGGGAAUUAUUUUAAUUAAUUCAUCAUUAUGAAUAAAAUUAUCCUUAAAUACAUUAAGCAUUGAUAUGAAUUGUAGACACUGAAAAAUCAAAAGUUUCUCACUGAAAAUUCUUGAUUUUUUUUUUUCAGGCGUACAUUAAAGGAAUCUGUUAUGUCUGCAAAAACGUGGGGAUUUUAACAUAUUUCAGGACUGUAUGUAUUCAUGUGUCUAUUUAGUCAUUUAAUGUGUGGUGCUUCAUUUAUUAUAUCCAAUUCAGUCUGGCCCUCAGAGGAAAUAUGCUGCAUACUCUUGCUCCAUCUGGACAACUGUGAGUCCAUUAUUGUGUCUUCUGUCAUGUUCGCUGAUCAGAGGAACAAAGGUCGACUGUGCUGAAUCCUCCUUCAUGCUUUGAAGAGUGUUUGUAGUCAGUUUAAUCCGUCGUCUCUACCACUGGACUAGUUUCACCAGUCUAACGCUAAGAAGCCUUAAGCUUCAGUACUGUUGCUAUGGUUACCUGCACUUGAACAUACAAAGAACAGGUCUCAUAUUUCCAUGUGUUGCACAUGCUGCUGGCGCAAGUGAGUUGGAUUGAAACAAAGACAAAAUUAUCACCAAUGUGAGGCUCAUGGUAGAUUGUGCAUAACGUACAUUUUCAUUUUAUUUAGCCUACUUUUUGGGUUUUUUCGCCAUUAAAUUACUUGCAGUGGAUCUCAACUUUGUAUUUCAGAGUAAGAAACCAUAUGUUUUCUAGACCAUUUGAUAUUAUUUUUUAGAAGAAAGUAAAAAAAAAAAAAAUAUGUUCAAGCAACCUGCAGACCUUCUUGAAAUUAGCUUGUCCAGUAAAUCUUGGAGCGGAUCAGAAAACAUUUAAAUUAUUAUUUUUUUUUUAAAAAGCAUGUAGCUCACUGUUUACUGCACUUUUCAAAGCCUCAAUGUUUGUUUUGGGCAGCACUAUUUUGUUUUUGGAGCCAAAAGUGACCAUAUUUGGAAAAAGAGGUUUGAGUGCAAAAAUUAUCAGCUAAAAAUAGAAGGCGUGAUUUACAAGCUGCAUCCAUAAACCAUAUGGAUACAAUGUGCAGACACAUACUUUUUAAUUAGUGCUAAAUAGCAGACUGAUAAAAUAUUGCAAUUAACAUAGAGCACUAACUUCUUGGAUCAUCAGAGGUUUUCAUUAAAAUUACUCAAAAGCCACCUACACCAUAAACAUGGUGUUGAAAUUCAGUUUAAUGAAUUAAUCAACAAGUUCUUUUCAAAGUUGGGAAUUUUAAACACAGGAGUCUAUGGGGAUUGAAUCACUUCUGGAACCAGCCUCAAGUGUCCGUGAGAUGAAAUGCACUUUUUGGUACAUUUGAGUGUAUCUUGUUAUUUGAUUCAAUUUCAAAUAAAAAUGUGAGCUAAUGCAAAUAUUACACAAACCCCUACCAUGAGCAUGCAGUCAACCACAAAGACUCCGUUUGUGAGACACACUAGAAACGGAAAAAGAACAUUUGAGCCCUUUUCAAGGGCUUCAGCUUUCAUGUUAUUCAUAAUUUUAGUUUGUUAACCUCCAAUUCGUGGCGUAGUUUGUAAUUUAUCUGCAGCUCAUGGGUACUGCUGCCUGUAAUGGAUUGAAGGAAGAGUGAGGAUUUCCUGCUUAAAUAUUUUACAAUUGAAUAAAAUGGAUAGCAUGCAGUCAUAGUUCAGCAGUUCUUUAUUACAGUGGGAUGACCUCUUUUUUUACCAGCAGGGAUAUGAAAAAAUGAUAAAGGCCAAUGGCUCUAUUAUAACCACAAUCACUGAGGCUCCGCAGAGCAGGGAGCAUCCAUAUCUUAAAUAUAGGCCUGAGCUUCUCAAAGCUGCACUGCAUUCAUUAAUUUUUGAUGUGGACUUACAUAAGAGACAAAGUGAACGCUGCAGGGUCUGGUUUACAGGCAGGGAUUCCGCCUGCAGAGGGGUUUCCACAUUUCACUAAAUCUUAAAACCACGUCCACACGAGUGUAAUGGGCGGUGUUUUUGGAUGCAACAGGCGUGGAUGAUACUGACUGCUACAUGAGCAUGAAUCUCCACAGGUCGUGAGGUGGAUGGUGUCAUGACAGUGACAGUAUAAACAUGUCCACCUUUGGAGAUGUUGCUAUACUUUUUUUUUUUUUUUUUUUUUUAACAAUAGACUGAUCCCUUUAUAUGUCUCCUUGUAAUAGCAAAACAGCAAUAUGUAAAUUACUGUAUUUUUUAAUUUAUGUGCAGUAAGGUACUUAAAUUUGAUACAAGGAUUUCCUGUAUCAAAAAUAAGAAAAAUGACAACGAUAAUAUCCCAGAGUUGAUGUCUUCAGACGUUUUAGUAAAGCUUACAUUUGAUGAGUGCAGAAGAAAGCAGUAAAUUGUCAGCACCCAGAGACAGCCUUGUGUUUUGCUCUUUAAUUUUUUUGGAAGCAACCAAUUGUCAUUAUAUAAAACAUACAUACGUAUAUGUGAUAAUGGAUUUUACCCAUAAAAAAAGCCUUUCUUUUGAAGAACAGAUCAUCACAAACUUCGUACCAGCGUCAGUGGUAAAAAGUUUAAAUUAAAUUUUACAAUAAAAGCAAGUCUAAACACUAGAAAAUGUCAGACAAGAAAAUAAAAGCUCCAAGAUAAAAACAACCUGAAAGCAAUAAAAGAGUGAGUUUGUUCAAAUAAUUUCCAUACACAGUCAAAAGAUAUGAGAUAUAUAUUUGUAUUAUUUUAAUACUUGAAAGGAAGCUGAAAGGAAACGGAGCUCCGAUAAGAAAAUGUAAUAAGAAAGGAAAUAAAUUUUUAAAAAGUAUUUUCAGCACAAAUAGCAACUUUAACAUAGGGAAGAAUGAACUCCCAGCGGUUCAAAGUUCGGCAGUAAGGGAGGAAGCGGUUUUGCCUCGGGGUGACUCAGAUCACAUCGAUCUGUAAAUCAAGUCCCAGAUGGUUCAGACUCCAUCUGGGGUCUGAAGGUCUGACUCAGUGAGAUCACAACAACACACUUGUUUGCAGUCUCAUUGUCAGUGUAGCAGGUCAGCCUGAGAUGUCAACACUUGCAACGAAAAAGGCAUAUGGAUAAAAACCAGCGCGAAUGUCUCGAUGUACAUCUGCGUCACGCCUCUUGUUUUAAUGCCCACAGCAGCCAAGGAACAGCUUGCAUUUAAGCAGGGGCGUGAAGUAAGAGCCGCAAUGGUUUUUCGCUUUUACUGGAAAAAUGGCUGCUAAGCCAAUGCCUACAGACUGAAAACAGAAUCAGAUGAGACUGCAAUAAACAGACGCUUCAUAUGCAGUGCUGCAAUUUAAUAAGUAAAAACAGUGCGUGUAGAAUCUUAGGGCGAGGGCUUUUGAUAGAGUCGCCAUUUUGAAAGCAGAGCUGAAUACACACAGUGAGACAGCAUGUAUCACACAACAACAUGUAUGGCAGUUUUACUUGGUACUUAAACAACUACACAGACGCAGAAUGAAGCACCAGCUCCUCUUUUCCGUCCACUUGGUGGAGAAGUGCUGAUUUACAGCAAUCUACCAAGCGUCUCCCCUCGCUCUGUUAAAAACAAUUUAAUAUUUCACAACAAAGAUACCAGCUAUGUGCUGCUGUUAAAUAGUCAAGUCUUCUUAAGAACUGUUCUGGAAGCAGCAAUUACACUCUACUGCAGACACGGACGAGUAGGCAUUGCUGUUAUACUUCUUAGAAGUCUGACUAGUUGCUACAUUGUAAUGUGAAGUCUCCGCUUCUGAGUUGCCAUCUGACUGGACAUUUAUGCUUCAGUGGGGAAUCUAUGGGGAGUCUCCCUAAGCUGUAACCACAAACUGUGGCAUCGACACAGCUCACAACUCACAACCUGUAUAUUUCCAGCUACUCUUACACUGCAGUUUUUCACUUUAAGAAUACCCUUCAUCAAUUUAAAUAUAAGGAGUAAUAAAAAAAAAAAAAAAAAAAAUCUAAAUUCAUGGAGGGGGAUUGCUGAAACUAUCAAAAUGGAUGCAAGGGAAUAUACCAGCAUUGCAGCAUUUUAUUUGUUUCUAUCAGCUGGUACCCCACAUAAAACACAGGGACACAACCACACGGUAAUUAACACAUAACGCACCUCGCGCGAGAAAUGUUGACAGCAAAUCGGUUACAUUGUAGGCUCUACAAGUAAAUCACUGCAGAAGUUUAAAUCAGGCCUGAUUAUAAAAUUUAUAUCCCUCUGACUCAACCAGAGCCAAGCAGACUCACAGACAUAGAAUCUAUAGCAUGCUUUUAACUGACUGACACAACCGGAAAGUGUCUGCGUGGCAGCCAUAAAAAAAGCUGGUUAAAGUCUUUGAAUACCGAUACUGCUUCUUUAUUACCACUUUUAGCAAAGAAUAUGCCUGCGAACAAUCAGUAAACAGAGUUGUCAAUGUUAUGUUGAUGGUGUUGUUCAAUAAAUAUUAGUGUGUUUUUGUAUAAGCUAGAAUGUGUUUUGAAUCUUCAGUGACCAGCUAUGUUAAACCCACCUGUAAAUCCUGUAUAUUCUGAAGCUAAAUACUUUGUGCAUUGUGGUUCCCAUUUCCCAAGUCCUUAAAUUCUCUCUCACCAUUGACCUUGAUGCCGUUUUCUAUCAAGGUCAAGGAAAAGUGAUUAGACAGACAAAGACACGGGGUUACUUUUUGGACUUUUCGACCACAGCCUUGGUUAAUUCUUCUCAGGCUAAAGGAGCUAGAACCUCAUGCAGGCCGUUCAAAUGAUAGACACACUGAGUCAGCAUCCGUCGUCUCUCGUGGUCAUCAGGACGACGGCAGCAGCUUGAGACAGAUACAGAACACUCGACUGUCUGCAGGUCCCAAUUCCCAGGAGAAGAGUGGGAGUUUGGUGUUAUGUGGAUCGAGUGAUGGUCAGCCUAACGGUACAAUCUUCAGGUACAAAAAGUGAAGACAGAUCAUUUUAUUUUCUUGGCCAGUCCUGCAGGGUUGUGGGGAAGGCUAGAGUCCAUCACAAGAAGGGCAAGACGAUGGGUAUUUCCUGGACCCUGCCUCCAGGCUGACACAGAGACAGACAACUAUUCAUGCUACCAUUCAUUUAACACGUACAAACAAUUUAGAAUCACCAGUUAAAUUACAUGCAUGGGUUUAGGUUAACUGUGGGUUAGCUUAGCUUUUUGACCAUGUUUGCUGGGUUUCCAACAGGGAUGUCCAGAUGAUGUUGAUAAGAUAACAGACAAGAGAUGCCAAAAUUUUGUCUUCAGCUUUCAUUCUGGAACCACAUAUCAACCAAGACUAACAGUCAAGGCGAGACAGCCAACCGGUGGUUUCUGAAUCUGAAAAUACUUGCUGGAAAGUGAUCUUCAGAGGAAAAAGGAACAAAUAACAAACACUCUCACUGUAUAGCUUCGUUUGGGGGGGUGUUCUUACUCUUCUCUCAAACAACAAUGUUUUGUUUGUUUCAUUUUGUCCUAGUCCAGAACAAAAUGAAUAUACAAUUGUUUACCACAAACUUUCCUGUCAUAGAAAGUCUAACAAGGAUGUUAAGGCAUCACUGAAGUGGUACAUUUGACAGACACAAUCUUAUGCCUCUGUUGUCGGCUCAACUUUUAUUCUGGAGCUAUUUUUAACCAAGACCAAAUAUCAAGAAAAGACGAUCAGCUCAUUUGUUAUUUAACAUUAAAGUGUUUAUUAGAGCAUGAUCUCAAAGAAAAAUCCCAGGAGUCUGAGUCGCUCUCACAGUAUAGUUGUUUGUUGUUGUUAUUACUCUUGUUCUAAUCGUUUAAAGUAUAACAUAAAACAGUGGUUUAACAUAAACUUUACUUUGCUGUAAAGUCUAUCAAAGACACCCAGAGGAGAAAAAGUAUGCCUAGCAGACAGUAAACAUUUGUCUCCAACAUUUGCACAACCUUUAUUUUGGAGCCAUGCUUGAUCCAAAGCUAGAUGUUGACUAGAAAAGACAGCCAGUAGACAGUUUGGCAGUGCCAAAAGGUCAAGAGUUUGAGUCCAAGUCCAAGCAGAAUAUCCAGGUGAUAAGGAGGUACGUCCAACAGACGACCUUUGCUUAACUGUCAUUUUCAAAACCUUGUUUAAACAAAAGCGAGACCUUAGAAAAGUGGCUCAAUGCAUUUGCCUGACAAGAAAAUGAUCCCUUGUCUAACCCUAGGGGGGAGACACAAAACCUUUCAAGGUUGCCAGGAAGAGCAUCUGGUGUCAAAAUAUGCCAAACCAAAUAGGCAGAGCUACUUGCUGUGCUUGUGAACGGAGGACUAGUUAAAAUCUUUAACCAGACUUGAUGAAAGACAAUGGUUAUUCAAAUUUGAAAUGUUUGCUUGGUGUUAUCAUAAUGCUUGGAAGCCACAUAAUCAUAUUUCAUUCCAAACUGUACAGACUUGGGUGGAAUACAAAAAACUAGCCAUUUUCCCUUCUGAAUCCAGCAAACAGCAAAGUCAUUGCUGUCAUACCUAUAAUUCAACUCAUUUCAACAAAGAGUCUUCAAAGUUUCCCUUUCUACUAAUUUCACUUUGCAAAAAGCCUCUAUGUUCGGUUAAUUUGCAGCAGCAGAAAUCAGAAGGAGCAAUGCCCUCGUUUGGAGGUCACAAGCUGAGGAGGAGUCACCACAUGAGCCAAGAUGCGGGAUCCCCCCUCCUUUCUAACGCAAUAAGGAAGGACACACCCAGCUACAGAGGGGAGGAGGAGGAGAAGGUGGAGAUGGAUGAAAUGAGAAGAGAGGAAAAAGAAGCAGAACUGCUGCUGCUCCUCCUCAUCCGCCCAUCUUAGCCGAUGACGUAAGGACGGUGCUUCGUUAAUUAAAAUAAAGCGCAGUAACGAUUUUUCCACCCUUGUUCAAUACCGGCAGCCUUGAAAAAGAAGAAGUAGUAUUUACAGUGCGAGUGCUAAAUAUGGGGGAACCACUCCAACAAGCUUAACAAGCUCAUCCUGAAGGCGCCACAUUCGUGUCAACAGUGUGAGGACACCACAGUGAUACAGAAAUACACACAAUUAAUAUCACAACAGGGACAAACAACCGCAGCAACCAACGCUCGCUGCUCAGAGAGCUGUUUUUAACCA
This is a long non-coding RNA of Oreochromis niloticus (Nile tilapia), 10002 nucleotides long. RefSeq lists it as uncharacterized. The transcript has 4 exons. Lineage: Eukaryota; Metazoa; Chordata; Actinopteri; Cichliformes; Cichlidae. The record is from RefSeq and is a predicted model, not a curated record.